CCUACGGGGGGCAGCAGUGGGGAAUAUUGCACAAUGGGCGAAAGCCUGAUGCAGCAACGCCGCGUGAGCGAUGAAGGCCUUCGGGUCGUAAAGCUCUGUCCUCAAAGAAGAUAAUGACGGUACUUGAGGAGGAAGCCCCGGCUAACUACGUGCCAGCAGCCGCGGUAAUACGUAGGGGGCUAGCGUUAUCCGGAAUUACUGGGCGUAAAGGGUGCGUAGGUGGUUUCUUAAGUCAGAGGUGAAAGGCUACGGCUCAACCGUAGUAAGCCUUUGAAACUGGGAAACUUGAGUGCAGGAGAGGAGAGUGGAAUUCCUAGUGUAGCGGUGAAAUGCGUAGAUAUUAGGAGGAACACCAGUUGCGAAGGCGGCUCUCUGGACUGUAACUGACACUGAGGCACGAAAGCGUGGGGAGCAAACAGGAUUAGAUAC
RNAcentral lists this ribosomal RNA (429 nucleotides) under uncultured bacterium. RNAcentral's name for it is "partial 16S ribosomal RNA". It matches the Rfam family "Bacterial small subunit ribosomal RNA", at positions 338 to 785 of the family's 1533-position model. The record is from RNAcentral.